RNAcentral lists this ribosomal RNA (457 nucleotides) under uncultured Thiobacillus sp. Its description in RNAcentral is "bacterial SSU rRNA". It matches the Rfam family "Bacterial small subunit ribosomal RNA", at positions 346 to 795 of the family's 1533-position model. The record is from RNAcentral. Lineage: Bacteria; Pseudomonadati; Pseudomonadota; Betaproteobacteria; Nitrosomonadales; Thiobacillaceae.
GGGCAGCAGUGGGGAAUUUUGGACAAUGGGCGCAAGCCUGAUCCAGCCAUGCCGCGUGAGUGAAGAAGGCCUUCGGGUUGUAAAGCUCUUUCAGCUGGAAAGAAACGGUACGCACUAACAUUGUGUGCUAAUGACGGUACCAGCAGAAGAAGCACCGGCUAACUACGUGCCAGCAGCCGCGGUAAUACGUAGGGUGCGAGCGUUAAUCGGAAUUACUGGGCGUAAAGCGUGCGCAGGCGGAUUGUUAAGCAAGAUGUGAAAUCCCCGGGCUUAACCUGGGAAUGGCAUUUUGAACUGGCAGUCUAGAGUGUGUCAGAGGGGGGUGGAAUUCCACGUGUAGCAGUGAAAUGCGUAGAGAUGUGGAGGAACACCGAUGGCGAAGGCAGCCCCCUGGGAUAACACUGACGCUCAUGUACGAAAGCGUGGGUAGCAAACAGGAUUAGAUACCCCGGUAGUC